Molecule: ribosomal RNA, 254 nt
Filed under: uncultured bacterium
Lineage: Bacteria
Description: partial 16S ribosomal RNA
Rfam family: Bacterial small subunit ribosomal RNA
Source: RNAcentral
UACGAGAGGCCCAAACGUUAUUCGGAAUUACUGGGCUUAAAGAGCUCGUAGGCGGUGUGUCACGUCGGCCGUGAAAACCUGCAGCUUAACUGUGGGCGUGCGGUCGAUACGGGCAUCACUGGAGUUCGGCAGGGGAGACUGGAAUUCCUGGUGUAGCGGUGAAAUGCGCAGAUAUCAGGAGGAACACCGGUGGCGAAGGCGGGUCUCUGGGCCGAUACUGACGCUGAGGAGCGAAAGCGUGGGGAGCGAACAGG